This is an RNA transcript of Tarenaya hassleriana, 1375 nucleotides long. It is a transcript of the gene named telomere repeat-binding factor 2-like, with no coding region annotated. The transcript has 9 exons. Lineage: Eukaryota; Viridiplantae; Streptophyta; Magnoliopsida; Brassicales; Cleomaceae. The record is from RefSeq and is a predicted model, not a curated record.
UCAUGUUUUUUUUGUUCUUUCUUUGGUGGGCAUGCUUUUCGUUUUUAUGGAUAUUCUUUCUUCUACUCUCUGGUCUUCGUCUUCGUUCAUUCAGCGAAAUUCUGAGAUUCAAAUUUGAUUCAUGACAGUUCAGAUGCGAAUUCAGCUUCAUCGUCAAGCUUCUCUCUCGGAAACUCUCCCUCGCUUCUGCUUGAUCAGGGAAAAAGAUCCAACUUACUCGAAGUUUUUGUUUCUGGAGUCUUAUUGAUAGCUGUUAAUGGGUGCCCCGAAACAGAAGUGGACAGCUGAAGAAGAAGCGGCCCUUAAAGCUGGAGUGCUUAAGUAUGGAACUGGAAAGUGGCGGACUAUACUCUCUGAUCCGGAAUUUAGUUCAGUUUUGAAAUCUCGCUCAAAUGUGGAUCUCAAGGACAAAUGGAGGAAUAUAAGUGUCACUGCAUUGUGGGGAUCGAGGAAGAAAGCUAAACUCGCGCUUAAAAGAAUUCUUCCAACUCCUACGCAGGAUGUUGACUCUUCAACUCUUAGCACUGUGCCUCUGAGUUAUGAUGAAGGAAAGACAAAUUCAUCUCCUCCAAAAGUUUCCGGUGAAUCACCACAAAAUGAUGCUUCGAAAAGAUCAAUUACGAGUUUGGAUAAGAUCAUCUUGGAGGCACUCGCCAACCUGAAGGAGCCGCGAGGUUCUGACAGAACAUCAAUCUUUCUGUAUAUAGAGGAUAAUUUCAGGACGCCACUCAAUGUGCAAAGGCAUGUGGCAGUAAGACUAAAGCAUUUGACAUCAAUUGGUACAUUAAUUAAGACGAAACACAUUUACAGGAUUGCUCCGGAUUCAGUGACCACAGGAACAACAAGACAGAGAUCUCCUCAACUACUUUUGGAAGGAAACAAGGAAGAAGAUACACUAAAUGUGGAAGAAAACGGUGUAAGCUCUCUUAUUAAAUCCCGAGUAGACGAGGAGCUAUUUAAGAUAAAGGGUAUAACUGCCCAAGAGGCGGCUGUAGCAGCUGCAAGAACAGUUGCAGAGGCGGAAUUCGCGAUUGCUGAGGCUGAAGAGGCAGCAAGAGAGGCAGAGAAAGCAGAAGCCGAAGCCGAAGCUGCUCAGAUUUUUGCAAAGGCAGCGAUGAAAGCUUUGAAGCAUAGGAUGCGUAAUCAUAUAUGCAGAUAGUGAGGAUCAGAUCAGAUCUUCGAGUUUUCAGUCUUGAAUCUGGCGAUAUAUCAUCGCCGGUAUGGGGACAAAGUAGAAUUUCAUUGUCAGCCAAAGUUUCAGAUAAGAAAGCUUGAAAGUUUGCAGGUGGUGAAUCAGAUUCUUCAGCAUGUUCUUCAUCUUCCUCACCAUCAGUUCCAGCUGCCACAAGCUCUUCGAGACCCAACGUCUGGAGCU